This 547-nucleotide small RNA is filed under the name Arabidopsis thaliana (thale cress). Its description in RNAcentral is "ATSL236650". The record is from RNAcentral. Lineage: Eukaryota; Viridiplantae; Streptophyta; Magnoliopsida; Brassicales; Brassicaceae.
CAAUCUAACUAUUGAUGGUCUCUUUUUCCCUUAACAAAUUAAGUUAUAGACAUAGAAUUGGCAUAUAUAUAUAUAUAUAUAUAUAUAUAUAUAUAUAUAUAUAUAUAUAUAUAUAUAUAUAUAAUUCUCUUGCAUUUUUCUUUAAAACAAAAUUGUUUACCUCAGUGAGUAUAUUGUUGAGAUAUUGGAUAUUUCUAUCCGGACGGGUUUCAACAAGUUGGAGAUUGUUGUUCUGAUGAUGGACAAUGGCAGAAUUAUGGUUAGGAUUCGAAAAGCGAUGAAUGAGUUCUUGAACACUUGGAUGGCCAAAAGAAAACACUUUCCCACCAGGAGAGAACACAAUCAACAGAAUCUCUGCACCACUUAAUGUGCAAAGUUCACUAGCUUUUUUGAAAAGACCGAAUCUUCUUUUUGAGAAAGUAACCUGAAGGUUGCUUUCGUUUUCCAUUUUUUUCAUCUCUAUUUUCUGACGACCUUUGGUACUUCUCACCAUUUUCUCAAAAAUUUGAAUAAACAAAUGACAAAUUUGAUGCUAAGAAAUAAAAUA